GACGAACGCUGGCGGCGUGCUUAACACAUGCAAGUCGAACGGAAAGGCCCUGCUUUUGUGGGGUGCUCGAGUGGCGAACGGGUGCGUAACACGUGAGUAACCUGCCCUUGACUUUGGGAUAACUUCAGGAAACUGGGGCUAAUCCCGGAUAGGAGCUCCUGCUGCAUGGUGGGGGUUGGAAAGUUUCGGCGGUUGGGGAUGGACUCGCGGCUUAUCAGCUUGUUGGUGGGGUAGUGGCUUACCAAGGCUUUGACGGGUAGCCGGCCUGAGAGGGUGACCGGCCACAUUGGGACUGAGAUACGGCCCAGACUCCUACGGGAGGCAGCAGUGGGGAAUAUUGCACAAUGGGCGGAAGCCUGAUGCAGCAACGCCGCGGGCGGGAUGACGGCCUUCGGGUUGAAAACCGCUGUCGCCUGUGACGAAGCGUGAGUGACGGUAAUGGGUAAAGAAGCACCGGCUAACUACGUG
Molecule: ribosomal RNA, 468 nt
Filed under: uncultured bacterium
Lineage: Bacteria
Description: partial 16S ribosomal RNA
Rfam family: Bacterial small subunit ribosomal RNA
Source: RNAcentral